GAGAGAUCAACAGAACCAGGGGAGUAUGAUCGUGUGGGGGACUUUUGUGAACUUUGAUUGAUCUACUGCUUGUUUACAAGGCGCACAAGUUUUCACGUUGUUCCAUAUCUGAAGAGCAGUAAAGCCAUUGUGGACAUCAAUAAGAAGCGUCGUUUCGUUAUUGGAGUAGAUACAUACUUCAAUGUCACGCCUAAUGGGGAAUGAACCGGAAGUGUUGUGAGUCGUGUACACGCAGCUGAGAGACAAAGAGAACGGCGGGCUUCCAAUCCAGAUGCAGUAAGAGACUUAGUGUGCUCCUUCAGAAGCAACGCCUGUAUGUAUCAUAUCAUAUACGGUUUAUUAAGUAAUUUCAUAUGAAAAUGUGUAGUUACAAACAAGUUUGUGAAGUUACUAGGUACAUGGAUUUAUUAAAGCCUGGGUAAAAAUGGCUGGGUUGCAUCAGUCCGGCGUAAAAGCUGUUCCAAACAAAUCAUGCGAGUGACUCGCUGUUGUGGCGACCCCUGACGGGGAAAAUCUGAAAGUCACAUCUUUAGUGAGAUGUAGGCUACUAUGCUAACAGUUGGAGAGGGCUUGCUAAUUGUUUGUGCAGACCAAUGCUAAC
This is a long non-coding RNA of Phyllopteryx taeniolatus (common seadragon), 601 nucleotides long. RefSeq lists it as uncharacterized. The record is from RefSeq and is a predicted model, not a curated record. The transcript is spliced from 3 exons. Lineage: Eukaryota; Metazoa; Chordata; Actinopteri; Syngnathiformes; Syngnathidae.